This 1343-nucleotide ribosomal RNA is filed under the name uncultured bacterium. Its description in RNAcentral is "16S ribosomal RNA". It matches the Rfam family "Bacterial small subunit ribosomal RNA", at positions 28 to 1378 of the family's 1533-position model. The record is from RNAcentral.
GACGAACGCUUGCGGCGUGCUUAACACAUGCAAGUCGAACGGAAAGGCCCUGCUUUUGUGGGGUGCUCGAGUGGCGAACGGGUGAGUAACACGUGAGUAACCUGCCCUUGACUUUGGGAUAACUUCAGGAAACUGGGGCUAAUACCGGAUAGGAGCUCCUGCUGCAUGGUGGGGGUUGGAAAGCUUCGGCGGUUGGGGAUGGACUCGCGGCUUAUCAGCUUGUUGGUGGGGUAGUGGCUUACCAAGGCUUUGACGGGUAGCCGGCCUGAGAGGGUGACCGGCCACAUUGGGACUGAGAUACGGCCCAGACUCCUACGGGAGGCAGCAGUGGGGAAUAUUGCACAAUGGGCGGAAGCCUGAUGCAGCAACGCCGCGUGCGGGAUGACGGCCUUCGGGUUGUAAACCGCUUUCGCCUGUGACGAAGCGUGAGUGACGGUAAUGGGUAAAGAAGCACCGGCUAACUACGUGCCAGCAGCCGCGGUGAUACGUAGGGUGCGAGCGUUGUCCGGAUUUAUUGGGCGUAAAGGGCUCGUAGGUGGUUGAUCGCGUCGGAAGUGUAAUCUUGGGGCUUAACCCUGAGCGUGCUUUCGAUACGGGUUGACUUGAGGAAGGUAGGGGAGAAUGGAAUUCCUGGUGGAGCGGUGGAAUGCGCAGAUAUCAGGAGGAACACCAGUGGCGAAGGCGGUUCUCUGGGCCUUUCCUGACGCUGAGGAGCGAAAGCGUGGGGAGCGAACAGGCUUAGAUACCCUGGUAGUCCACGCUGUAAACGGUGGGUACUAGGUGUGGGGUCCAUUCCACGGGUUCCGUGCCGUAGCUAACGCUUUAAGUACCCCGCCUGGGGAGUACGGCCGCAAGGCUAAAACUCAAAGGAAUUGACGGGGCCCCGCACAAGCGGCGGAGCAUGCGGAUUAAUUCGAUGCAACGCGUAGAACCUUACCUGGGUUUGACAUGGAUCGGGAGUGCUCAGAGAUGGGUGUGCCUCUUUUGGGGUCGGUUCACAGGUGGUGCAUGGCUGUCGUCAGCUCGUGUCGUGAGAUGUUGGGUUAAGUCCCGCAACGAGCGCAACCCUUGUUCACUGUUGCCAGCACGUUAUGGUGGGGACUCAGUGGAGACCGCCGGGGUCAACUCGGAGGAAGGUGGGGAUGACGUCAAGUCAUCAUGCCCCUUAUGUCCAGGGCUUCACGCAUGCUACAAUGGCUGGUACAGAGAGUGGCGAGCCUGUGAGGGUGAGCGAAUCUCGGAAAGCCGGUCUCAGUUCGGAUUGGGGUCUGCAACUCGACCUCAUGAAGUCGGAGUCGCUAGUAAUCGCAGAUCAGCAACGCUGCGGUGAAUACGUUCCUGGG